Molecule: ribosomal RNA, 465 nt
Filed under: uncultured bacterium
Lineage: Bacteria
Description: partial 16S ribosomal RNA
Rfam family: Bacterial small subunit ribosomal RNA
Source: RNAcentral
CCUACGGGAGGCAGCAGUAGGGAAUUUUCGUCAAUGGGCGCAAGCCUGAACGAGCAAUGCCGCGUGAACGAGGAAGGUCUUCGGAUCGUAAAGUUCUGUUGAAGGGGAAAAAGAGCGGAGAGAGGAAAUGCUUUCUGAUUGAUAUUACCCUUCGAGGAAGUCACGGCUAACUACGUGCCAGCAGCCGCGGUAAGACGUAGGUGGCGAGCGUUAUCCGGAAUGAUGGGGCGUAAAGGGUGCGUAGGCGGCCUGCUAAGUCUGGAGUGAAAGGUACCGGCUCAACCGGUACAGGCUCUGGAAACUGGCGGGCUAGAGAGCAGGAGAGGGCGGUGGAACUCCAUGUGUAGCGGUAAAAUGCGUAGAUAUAUGGAAGAACACCAGUGGCGAAGGCGGCCGCCUGGCCUGUUAACUGACGCUGAGGCACGAAAGCGUGGGGAGCAAAUAGGAUUAGAUACCCGAGUAGUC